GACGAACGCUGGCGGCGUGCUUAACACAUGCAAGUCGAACGAGAGGACAAGAGAAGCUUGCUUCUUUUGGAAUCGAGUGGCAAACGGGUGAGUAACACGUAAACAACCUGCCUUCAGGAUGGGGGACAACAGACGGAAACGACUGCUAAUACCGAAUACGCUUGGGAGACCGCAUGAUCUUCCAAGGAAAGGGUGGCCUCUACUUGUAAGCUAUCGCCUGAAGAGGGGUUUGCGUCUGAUUAGGCAGUUGGUGAGGUAACGGCCCACCAAACCUACGAUCAGUAGCCGGUCUGAGAGGAUGAACGGCCACACUGGAACUGAGACACGGUCCAGACUCCUACGGGAGGCAGCAGUGGGGAAUCUUCCGCAAUGGGCGAAAGCCUGACGGAGCAACGCCGCGUGAGUGAAGAAGUAUUUCGGUAUGUAAAGCUCUAUCAGCAGGAAGAAAAUGACGGUACCUGACUAAGAAGCCCCGGCUAACUACGUGCCAGCAGCCGC
This 498-nucleotide ribosomal RNA is filed under the name uncultured bacterium. RNAcentral describes it as "bacterial SSU rRNA". It matches the Rfam family "Bacterial small subunit ribosomal RNA", at positions 28 to 518 of the family's 1533-position model. The record is from RNAcentral.